AUUGAACGCUGGCGGCAUGCCUUACACAUGCAAGUCGAACGGCAACACGGGGGCUGGCGCCUGCUGGCGAGUGGCGGACGGGUGAUUAAUACAUCGGAACAUGGCCUUUAGUGGUAGAUAGCCCGACGAAAGCCGGAUUAAUACCGCGUACGAUCGACGAAUGAGAGCGGGGGUCCGGCGGGCCUCGCGUUGAGGGGUUGGCGGAUGGCUGAUUAGCUGGUUGGUGGGGUAAAGGCCCACCAAGGCGACGAUCAGUAGCUGGUCUGAGAGGACGACCAGCCACACUGGGACUGAGACACGGCCCAGACUCCUACGGGAGGCAGCAGUGGGGAAUUUUGGACAAUGGGCGCAAGCCUGAUCCAGCAAUGCCGCGUGCAGGAAGAAGGCCUUCGGGUUGUAAACUGCUUUUGUACGGAAAGAAACGGCUCGGCCUAAUACCGGGGGGGAAUGACGGUACCGGAAGAAUAAGCACCGGCUAACUACGUG
This 486-nucleotide ribosomal RNA is filed under the name uncultured bacterium. Its description in RNAcentral is "partial 16S ribosomal RNA". It matches the Rfam family "Bacterial small subunit ribosomal RNA", at positions 29 to 507 of the family's 1533-position model. The record is from RNAcentral.